Non-coding RNA from Prunus mume (Japanese apricot), 1298 nucleotides. The record is from RefSeq and is a predicted model, not a curated record. NCBI's taxonomy places the organism in Eukaryota, Viridiplantae, Streptophyta, Magnoliopsida, Rosales, Rosaceae.
UUGCUGUAUUUUUGGUUUUGAUGUUAUUGUUGCUAGUAUAGGAAAGAGAAGCAUUGAAAGAAAAAAGGGAGAGAAAUAGGAGGGAAGGUAUUCUACUGUUCUGUUCUUGUGCAUUUGAUUUGUUACUGAUUUUCUCUUUUGCCAGCACCUGUGAUUUUGUCUGUAUUAAAAUCAUGGGUUGCAUGAACUAUACUAGCCAGACAACUAUGGGGGGCUUUAGUUAAUUAAUUGUAACAUAUGCUACAUAUUUGGAACCAAGGAUCAAUUAACAAGACAUUAGUUUUGGGGUGAUUCAGUCAGCAACCAAUUAAUCUUUCAAAAGAAAAACAGAACUGAGAAGUGGGUUUUGGUCAUAACGGAACAUUGGAAUUUACAUAUAUUGAAAGCAGAGUAGUCGUAGCUAGGCAUCAUUGUUUUACAUAUGCACUUACCUAAGUAAUUUUGUCAUCAUUGUUUUAAUUACUAGCUAGCUUGAAAUUUUGGUUUACAGUUUAGGUCAUCAGGGGAUUCUAUUGCCUAUGUAGUGGUUGAUGCCAAGUAACAAGUGCGUAUAUUACAUAUUGGCUCCGUGGAUGUGCUUAAAAUAGGAAUAUAAACAUAUGUUUACCUUUGUCCUUGGGAUCUACACUCUUGUUGUUUCAGAGGCUUUAUCAGAAAAUUGCAAGUAACACGCAAUGCUUUUGCUAUUUUGCACAAAUUUCCAAUAAUUGGAUAGUGGCCACUCGUUAUUUAUCUUCAGGCUUGCUUACAGUAAGAAGGGCCCUACUCCUAGGACAAUUAAUGAUGAAGCGGCAAAAGAUGAGUUGGAGAAACUUGAGUAGAUGGAGGGGGAUGCAGGCCGGAAGAUGAUGAAUACACAACCAUGGAGGAGCAAGAAAUGCUGCAGAGGUACAAAGUCCAUUGUUGAAUGUUUUGGUUUGGAUGCAAAUAAGUGUGGAAGCUAGAAGUAAUAGGACUAACAAGAAUAAUAUGAUGUGCUGGUGUAAUUAAAUUCACUUGUUGACCAUAUUGGCAUGCUCGGGAUUUUGAUGCUUUGGGCAGCUUUUGAGAGAAUGAAAAGGAAAUUAAUUGGAAAUGGGAAAAGAAAAAAAAAACCAUAAAUGUUUUAAAGGCACGGAUGGAGGAUGGGAUAUAUUAUAAAACAAUAAAAUAAUAUAAAGGCACUGAUAUCUGUACCUAGGCAAUGCAUUAGUUACGGAUGUAUUUGGAAUUGAUGUACGCGUAUUGGGUGCUAGGAAUAUGGGACCCAUUGCAAAAAUUAGGUACGGAGGUUUAUAAUCAGUGACAUAAUAUCAAUA